RNAcentral lists this ribosomal RNA (243 nucleotides) under uncultured bacterium. RNAcentral's name for it is "partial 16S ribosomal RNA". It matches the Rfam family "Bacterial small subunit ribosomal RNA", at positions 524 to 768 of the family's 1533-position model. The record is from RNAcentral.
UACGUAGGGUGCAAGCGUUAAUCGGAAUUACUGGGCGUAAAGCGUGCGCAGGCGGUUAUGUAAGACAGAUGUGAAAUGCCCGGGCUUAACCUGGGAACUGCAUUUGUGACUGCAUGGCUAGAGUUUGGCAGAGGGGGUAGAAUUCCACGUGUAGCAGUGAAAUGCGUAGAUAUGUGGAGGAACACCGAUGGCGAAGGCAGCCCCCUGGGUCAAGAUUGACGCUCAUGCACGAAGCGUGGGGAG